CCGUGCUAGGCGGGGAGCCAGCGGUGCCCUGUAACCCGAGAUCCGCUCAUGCGGGGCUGAAUCCCCGCCGGAGGCCCGCGAGGCCCGAGGCAGCACUCGGCGCGGGGCGUUGAAGGUCGGGUCCUACGCGACGUCGGACCGCGAACCGGGUCAGGGCGGGAACGCAGCAGCCCUUAACGGUUUCCGGCGGGUGCCGUAGGGAUGCCUGGCUGGAGCCUGCCGCGCGGGAACGCGCUCGAGUCUCACGGCGUCGAUGGCGGGUGCACGG
This 268-nucleotide signal recognition particle RNA is filed under the name Actinomycetes bacterium. RNAcentral's name for it is "Actinobacteria bacterium signal recognition particle sRNA large type". It matches the Rfam family "Bacterial large signal recognition particle RNA". Rfam says of the family: The signal recognition particle (SRP) is a universally conserved ribonucleoprotein involved in the co-translational targeting of proteins to membranes. Archaeal SRP consists of a 7S RNA and homologues of the eukaryotic SRP19 and SRP54 proteins. Lineage: Bacteria; Bacillati; Actinomycetota; Actinomycetes. RNAcentral also lists the same sequence under 1 other name. The record is from RNAcentral.